This 433-nucleotide ribosomal RNA is filed under the name uncultured bacterium. Its description in RNAcentral is "partial 16S ribosomal RNA". It matches the Rfam family "Bacterial small subunit ribosomal RNA", at positions 29 to 507 of the family's 1533-position model. The record is from RNAcentral.
AGCGAACGCUGGCGGCAGGCCUAACACAUGCAAGUCGAACGAACUCUUCGGAGUUAGUGGCGGACGGGUGAGUAACACGUGGGAACGUGCCUUUAGGUUCGGAAUAACUCAGGGAAACUUGUGCUAAUACCGAAUGUGCCCUUCGGGGGAAAGAUUUAUCGCCUUUAGAGCGGCCCGCGUCUGAUUAGCUAGUUGGUGAGGUAAAGGCUCACCAAGGCGACGAUCAGUAGCUGGUCUGAGAGGAUGAUCAGCCACAUUGGGACUGAGACACGGCCCAAACUCCUACGGGAGGCAGCAGUGGGGAAUCUUGCGCAAUGGGCGAAAGCCUGACGCAGCUAUGCCGCGUGAAUGAUGAAGGUCUUAGGAUUGUAAAAUUCUUUCACCGGGGACGAUAAUGACGGUACCCGGAGAAGAAGCCCCGGCUAACUUCGUG